GAUGAACGCUGGCGGCGUGCCUAAUACAUGCAAGUCGAGCGAACGGACGCGAAUCUUGCUUCUCUGAUGUUAGCGGCGGACGGGUGAGUAACACGUGGAUAACCUACCUCUAAGACUGGGAUAACUUCGGGAAACCGGAGCUACUGCCGGAUGAUAUUUUGACCCGCAUGGUUCAAAAGUGAAAGACGGUCUUUCUGUCACUUCUCGACGUAUCCGCUCGGCAUUAGCUAGUUGGUAAGGUAACGCCUUACCAAGUCAACGAUGGAUAGCCGACCUGAGAGGGUGAUCGGCGACCCUGGAACGGAGACACGGUCCAGAGUCCUACGGGAGGCCGCAGUAGGGAAUGGGCGGCAAUGGGCGGAAGCCUGACGGAGCAACGGCGAGCGAGUGAUGAAGGUCUUCGGAGCGUAAAACUCGGUUAUUAGGGAAGAACAUAUGUGUAAGGAACUGUGCACAUCGUGACGGUACCUAAUCAGAAAGCCACGGCUAACUACGUG
RNAcentral lists this ribosomal RNA (497 nucleotides) under uncultured bacterium. RNAcentral's name for it is "partial 16S ribosomal RNA". It matches the Rfam family "Bacterial small subunit ribosomal RNA", at positions 28 to 507 of the family's 1533-position model. The record is from RNAcentral.